AUUAAUGGGUCUAAAUUUAUUAAGUAAAUAAAAUAAUCUAGUAACAAAUUUAAUAGACUGAAUAAAAUAAUCUAAUUUCAUACUAGCAUUUAACAAAACUGUAGUUCUAAACCCAGUUUUCAACAAAGUAUGGUUCAUCGCAUUUCACCGAUAACGGAAUCAAAGAACAAAGAGAAUCCCUUUUUGAAGUCUUCUCAAAGAGAAUCCAAACCCAGUUUCACCACAUUUCACCGAAACCCUUUUUACCACCGCGCAGUGACGAAAACGAAGCUGGUGGCCUAGUGGCGCCUUUUCCAGCCAUUGGCGCUUCGUUCUUGCUAUCUUUGGCAUCGACGAGGGCGGCGGAGGAGUAGAAGGCGACGCCAGUGGAGGUAACGGUUGUGAAACCGGAGGAGGUGAAGAAGAUUGAGGAGGAAGUGAUAACUUCGAGGAUUUACGAUGCGACGCGAUUGGUGAACCGUUGGCGUUUGGGAAAGAGAAAGGGAAAAUGUGGGAGAAGUUGAUGAAUGCUAGGGUUGUUUAUUUGGGGGAAGCUGAACAGGAUCCGGUUCGAGAUGAUAAGGAUUUGGAGCUUAAGAUUGUCAAGAAUUUGCAUAAGCGUUGUGUUGAGAUGAUAAGCGUUUAUCUUUGGCUAUUGAAGCUUUUCCCUCUGAUCUUCAGGAACCACUCAAUCAGUAUAUUGAUAAAAAUGGAAUUCGUCUUGUUACUUGUGGUACUCCACUGGAGAUAUUAAUUAAGGACUGUCCAAGCAGAAGGAGUUAGUGGGCUAACAAAGGCUGAACGUAAUUUAUACGCACCUCCUGCUGGUUCAGGCUUCAUAUCUAUCUGCACAGGUUAGAGUAGUUGACGAGUAUACUAUGUCCCGGACCCUGUAGCAGAAAAUGCUUUGACCGGGUUGAGAUUGCUCGGGUUAUGAAUGCUGCCAGACAGAGGCGGGAUGCCCUCCCACAGGUUAGCCAACCACUACAUCCACUGAUUAGCUUAACUGCUACUUUUCUUGCUUUGCUGAUUUCCCCUUCCAAAUUUUAUCCCUUUAUUUUCUCUCAUUGCCUAUUAGGCCUAGUUCUAGUCCAUAAUAUAGUCCUGUCAUUGGGCCUAGUUCCAGUCCAUAUUAUAGUCCUGUCAUUGGGCCUAGUUCUGUUGAUUGUAGGGCUUUGAAUAAAACAAUGAUUCGUUUUAUUACAUCUGUAUUCAAUGUACAACUCCAGAAAUCAUAAGUGGUUUAGAGUAUGAAUGGAUAUUAGCUGGCUUAUAUGAUCGUAAGUGACUUCUAUUCAAGUCUAUUUUAGUAGAUUUAUUAGUUAAGUAAUCCUUAAUGAUAUAUAUUAGACUCUAGUCAAUUUUAUUAGAUAGAUAUGGAUAUAUGUUUGAGAUUUGUAAUUUGCUAUCAUACUAAUAUGCUUACAUUUUUAAUGGGAGUUAGACUGGAUGGAUGAUCAUUUGUUAGAAAUAGAGAAAGAUCAAUGCAAAUUUUAAUUCAUACCAUUAUUUAAGAUUUGGAGUUAAAUAGAAAAUCUUUAAAUAAGAUCCAUGACAUUAUACUAUGACACUAUUUGAUCCAUGCAGUUAACUAUACCUAGUAGAAGAAACUUUGAUUGUUGUUCUUGUUGAGUGUCCAAUUGAUAUUAGUUAAUGAAUAAUAAAUGACAUUUCUUUAAUUAAAAAUCCAUCAUUUAAUACAUUGGUAGCCUAAAAAGUCAGUUUUCGUUUAAUAUUUUCAAGUUUUGAAUCUUUUCACACAUUAGCAUACUAUGAAGAAUCUGUGAUAUGACUCAUACUUGAACUAAAUUUAAGAUUUAAAAUCUCUAGAGUAAAAAGAUACAAGAAGUUCAUGCAACUUGCAGUAUGAGAAAUAUUAACUUGACAGUGCUACUAAUAUUUUAAAAUGCCUCAUACUUCCUUUCUAUUUUUUCAAUUCAGUUGAUUACAUCCUAAUUGUGAACAUCUUGCAGCACAUAGUAAUUUUUGGUGAAACGUUUUAGGUCAUACUUUCUACUAUUAAACUAACUAAUUGCUUUGUUAACUUACGUCAUGUUUUUCCAUAAUUUUUUAUUCUUAGGAUUUGAAAAUAGGUGAUGAAAUCAAUGUCAUAGAUUCUUGUUUUUGUGAUGCUAAAUGGUUCUAUAUGUUGUAUACAUGUUAUAAUACCAAGUAACUGUUUUGGAUGAGUUUUAGUGAGAAAAACGUGUUGAUAAUCGUAUUCUAAAGAGGUUUUGAUAAAUAAAGAUGAAGUUGCGGAAGAUGACAAUGGUGGUGGCAGAGAGCACAUAAUGGAAGAAAUGCAGAUGCUUGUGUUAGAGAAAAGACAGUAUAGUCCAGUGUAGUCAGAAAGGGAUAUGUCUAUUGAAUUUAUGAGCAUCAAUUCCAGCAUUAGAUCCUCCCAAGAACCAUUAUAUCCUCAAAGAGUCUCUCCCAGAGUCCUCAAUCCCCGACAGUCUUCAAAAUAUCGGACAACACUAGUUUAUUAAAUCUCAGCCCCCGAAACUCAGUUUUCUUUAGAUGAGAAUUCACUUUGUUCUUCAGAUUCUGAUGCUGAAAUGAGGAAAAAGACAGAAAUAUAGCAUUGUUGGAACCUCAACAAAUCCAAACCCAUCCCUGAGAUUCUGAGGCUGAAAUGAGGUAAUUGAUGCCAGCUAGAGAACGAAAAGGAUCACAAGGAGAGGGUACUCCUUUGGUCUGUGGUUUCCCUCUCGCUAUUGGUAGUCGGAUAUAUUCUGGAGAUUUUAGGAAUUCCUGUAUCAAAAGCACUGUACAGAUUAAGCUACAUGUUCAUCACCGCAGAGGCAUCGGGCUUUGUUUUGACUGCUAUAUACUACAUUACAUCUGGAGAAUUAUCUGCAGCCUCACCAGAGAGGUUGUCAAUGGCAUCUCAUGGAAAUGUUCGUGACAUCUGGAGAAUUAUCUGCAGCCUCACCAGAGAGGUUGUCAAUGGCAUCUCAUGGAAAUGUUCGUGGAAAUACAAAACACAUUGUUCUCAACUAUACAGAAAAUGAUGUGUUAGAUGAUGGCUGUUAAGUUUUGAUAACUUUUGAGUUGACUAAUUUGUAAUUGUUGCAGUACAACUCUGAGCCUGAAGCCGUUGACCUUUUAAUGGAGGUAACAUGUUGAGGACCUUGACAUGUUGAAUGAAUAUAUAGACAAAACAAAUUUACGAAGGUGUUUACUUCUUGCAAUGAUGUGCAUCAAAAGAAGCAAUUCUGUUACAUUAUUGCACGUCAUGGAAUUGCUUUUGUGCUCGACAUAGAAAUGGCUGGAAAUGAAGAUGACAGAGAAAAGUUGCAGGAUAUCUUAUACAAUUCUAAGUUAAGUGAAGGAUAUCUAGCUCUUGCUCGUGAUCUUGAAGUCAUGGAGGCCAAGUCCCCUAUGGAUAUAUACAAGGUUUGACACUGAGAAUAAAUUUAGUCCCGCCUCAAUGAAUCCCGGUACAUGUGUAGUUUUUACAUCUAAUGCCCUAAGAUUAGAAUUGUAAAUAAUUAAAUUAUGGUCCAAUUUGAUGAAAGGGCAUGUAAAUAAAUCAUGCUCUUUUAAUUUGAGGUACAAACAACUAUUAGUUUUGCUGCUUGCAUAUGUUUUCUUUUAAAUCUACGAUUUUUUUUAUUAAUAGUUGUAAGUGAUUGUUGAACAAUUGGUUAUGAUUUUUUAUACAAGUGUUGAACUUGGUGCUCAUAUUUUAAAAGCCAAAAAAUAAUCUGCAAUGCAAGUAUGUGUGAAGUUAUUUUCAGAAAUCAGAAGCUACUAUUUUUAACUGCCAAAAACAUUGCUUAAGCAGCUAUUUUGAAGAUUGGCUUUUCAAACACGAGGAACACGGGAGGACUAGUGCUGUAGCAUGCCUGGGUAUGAUUUCACUCUGGGAUGUUAGGAGAUAGUAUCAUUGAGAAUAUUGUAAAUAGAUUAUGGACUAAGCCAAGGCUAUGACAUCUACAUAGCUAGAUUAUUGAUGUCAAAUAGCCGCUAUCAAACUGGUCAUUUCUUGGCCAACCCACAAGGUGACCUAGGUCUUCAGUUUGCACAGCUUGGCCGAGAUGUAAAUUUUAUGGACUUUGGCAGUACAUGUUCAACAAGUUAGAGCUUCAUGUACUUAUUUUAGGGAAUGACAAGGCUGGCAAAACGACUUUGCUUGAGAAGAUGAAGUCGGUGUACACGAAUGUAGAAGUUCUUCCUCCGGAUCGAAUUGUGGAAAGCAAUUGCUUCUCCAGGGCGUGGUAUUUUGGCCAUGGAUGAAUCCAAUGCUACAUGUGGAAAGCAGAUGGAUUCAAUUGGAGUAGAGAACACUGAAGCUAACUGUCAAGCAUGGUGUAAAAUUAUAUAUGAAGAAAAUGUUAUGACUUGGUUAAAAUAUAAUUUUUAUGUGUAUGAUUUUUUAGUACUUGAAAUAUUAUGAAUGCACAUGAUUUUGUAUACUUUUUGGUUAAUAUUAAAAAUAUUUUGACUUAGUCAAAAUAUGAUUUUUAUGUGUAUGAUUUUAUAGUAUUUGUAAUAUUAUGACUGAAAAUGAAAUAUAACUAAAUGAUGUAUAUGAAAUAGGGUGUAAAUAGAUUUAAAUAUAAUAUAAUUGUUCAUUCAUAAAUGACGUAUUUACUC
Molecule: long non-coding RNA, 4581 nt
Organism: Vicia villosa (hairy vetch)
Lineage: Eukaryota; Viridiplantae; Streptophyta; Magnoliopsida; Fabales; Fabaceae
Exons: 14
Source: RefSeq, a predicted model, not a curated record